AACGCCGCGUAGAAAACGUCUAAAUAGUGGCUCCUCGGGCACUGCUGCCAGAAGCACGACCACUCCCCUGCGAUGUUCGGAAGAUCGGAAAAAAGAAACAAAAGAAUGCAGCGCGCGACCGUGGCCGUGACCGCGUCUACUGCAAACACAGUCGGCCCCGAAAGCCGCGGGAGCCGAUUUUUAGAGCUUUCCACACCUCACGCUGGCCGAGGCGGCGCGGAACCAGUACUCGGAACCAGCACCUUCCAGCUUCUGCUCUUUGGUCAACACUGACUACUCCUCGAGAUCCCGCGCCGACUCUUCAGUCACCUCCCGAGGCGUUCGGCGGCACCCCAUAGAGCACGGGCAAGUUCACCGCUGGGCCUUCCGCGGGAAACAAUCAGGCCUCCUUGACUCGCUUCUUCUCUCUGGCUUUUCUUCAUAGCUUUCUCUCUUUCCUUCUCUCUUUCUUUCUUUCUUUUCUUUUUCCGACUGAGUCUAGUAAAAAGAAUUGACGGCGGCGUUCCUACGUGUCUGGACAAACAGAAAGAAGUGCUGCAGUUACUUUUCCGGCCCUAUCGUGCGCGUCAUUGCGUUCCUGAGCUGCUCGUUUCACUCCCUUGCAGAACCGAAACAAAAUGUUUGAAGUCCGA
This 632-nucleotide long non-coding RNA is filed under the name Dermacentor andersoni. RNAcentral's name for it is "uncharacterized LOC126530265". The record is from RNAcentral. Lineage: Eukaryota; Metazoa; Arthropoda; Arachnida; Ixodida; Ixodidae.